This 173-nucleotide non-coding RNA is filed under the name Anaerosinus gibii. RNAcentral's name for it is "Selenomonadaceae bacterium ICN-92133 6S RNA". It matches the Rfam family "6S / SsrS RNA". Rfam says of the family: E. coli 6S RNA was the first non coding RNA to be sequenced, but its function was unknown until recently. The record is from RNAcentral. Lineage: Bacteria; Bacillati; Bacillota; Negativicutes; Selenomonadales; Sporomusaceae.
CAGUGCCUGAGAUGCACGAUACCUUCAAUAUGUCCAACCUACUUUUUUGAAAAGGGAAUCGGAUGUUUUGUAGCUGCUGGACCGUCUUGAACGGAUAGCAAAACCAAAACUAUGAUGCCCACCUGCUGGGUUGCAGGUUUGGACAUAACGAAGGGCGGCAUUACGGGCAAAAG